Long non-coding RNA from Myotis davidii, 1156 nucleotides. RefSeq lists it as uncharacterized. The record is from RefSeq and is a predicted model, not a curated record. The transcript has 3 exons. NCBI's taxonomy places the organism in Eukaryota, Metazoa, Chordata, Mammalia, Chiroptera, Vespertilionidae.
AAUGCGAGGGAUUGCUAUUGUUAGUCAUGCAGUGAAAACAAAAACCUAAGAUCUGUGAGGCAGAUAAAGCCAGAUCAAAGGGACCUACAGAAUUGGAUCAGUGGCAUGGAUGGCAUGGUAUCAUCACAGGAGAUGGCUGAGGACUUAACUGGUACUGAGAUAUUGAUAGAGCGACACCAGGAACAUCAUGCUGACAUGGAGGCUGAGGCUCCGACCUUCCAGGCCUUAGAAGACUUUGGUGCAGAUCUUAUAGGCAGCGGGCACCGAGACAGUCCUGAAAUUGAAAAAAAGCUUCAAGCUGUCAGACAAGAGAGAGAGGAUUUGGAGAAAGCUUGGGAGCAACGCGAGAAGAUGCUAAAUCAGUGUCUAGAGUAUCAGGUACAGCAAAUCUACAGUCAUUGAGCACAUUGGCCUCUGCCUGUUCCUUCUGUGCAGUUUUAUCUGGUUAAGUACGGGUGCUCAUUUCACUGGUCUUCCCAUGCUGAAAGCACCAGGGUAUCUCUUGGUUACCUGACACUGUAUCCUCUGCUUUGUAGACUGAUCACUGUUGUGUUCAUGGCCUUUAUUCCUGUUGAAAGAGUCAAACAAAAUGGGGGCCAUUUCUCAGCAUGAAGUGGGGUGAUUAUAAUUUAUGUAUUCAUUGACCUUUUGAUUUAUUGAUUUUUAUUGAGAGCCUACUGUGUGCACAGCCGUGGCAACAUAAAGUUUAGUAAGGUAGCAUCCCUUUUCUUAAGGAGUGAAAUUAGACAUGUAGACAGAUCAUUCUAGUACUUGUUAAUGAAACAAAACAUAUGAAUGUUUUGAGGUUAAAGAAGAGGAAGUGAUUAACACUUUUGAGGGAAAAGAGUGAGUAUUCCAGGCUACCCUGAAGGAGAAUGUUCACCCACUUUAAAUAACCAGCCAGUAUUCAUCAGGGAUAGAUGUGGGAAAUAGCACCCCAAGAAUGAAGGAUAGCUUAUGUAAAAACAUAAAUGUGUUACAGGGAAAUGUAAGAGGUUCAGUACAGUGGUCCCCCAUUUGUUUGUGGGAGGUAAGUUCCAAGACUCUUCUAGGAGAGAUUCGGGAUACCUAAAACCACAGACAGUACUGAACCCUAGAUAUACAAUCUUUUUUUCCUGUACAUAUAUACCUAUGGUAAAGUUUUCAAAUUAAUAUA